UACGGGGGGGGCAAGCGUUGUUCGGAAUUACUGGGCGUAAAGGGCGCGUAGGCGGCCUUCUAAGUCGGACGUGAAAUCCCUCGGCUUAACCGAGGAACUGCGUCCGAUACUGAAAGGCUUGAAUCCGGGAGAGGGAUGUGGAAUUCCAGGUGUAGCGGUGAAAUGCGUAGAUAUCGAGAGGAACACCUGCGGCGAAGGCGGGUUGCUGGGCUGACACUGACGCUGAUGCGCGAAAGCUAGGGGAGCGAACGGG
RNAcentral lists this ribosomal RNA (253 nucleotides) under uncultured bacterium. RNAcentral's name for it is "partial 16S ribosomal RNA". It matches the Rfam family "Bacterial small subunit ribosomal RNA", at positions 524 to 776 of the family's 1533-position model. The record is from RNAcentral.